Molecule: ribosomal RNA, 440 nt
Filed under: uncultured bacterium
Lineage: Bacteria
Description: partial 16S ribosomal RNA
Rfam family: Bacterial small subunit ribosomal RNA
Source: RNAcentral
CCUACGGGUGGCAGCAGUGGGGAAUAUUGCACAAUGGGGGAAACCCUGAUGCAGCGACGCCGCGUGAGUGAAGAAGUAUCUCGGUACGUAAAGCUCUAUCAGCAGGGAAGAAAAUGACGGUACCUGACUAAGUAGCCCCGGCUAACUACGUGCCAGCAGCCGCGGUAAUACGUAGGGGGCCAGCGUUAUCCGGAUUUACGGGGUGUAAAGGGAGCGUAGACGGCAGCACAAGUCUGGAGUGAAAUCCCGGGGCUUAACCCCGGAACUGCUUUGGAAACUGUGCGGCUGGAGUGCAGGAGGGGUAAGCGGAAUGCGUAGUGUAGCGGUGAAAUGCGUAGAUAUUAGGAGGAACACCGGUGGCGAAGGCAGCUUACUGGACUGUAACUGACGUUGAGGCUCGAAAGCGUGGGGAGCAAACAGGAUUAGAUACCCGUGUAGUC